CAUAGCUAAAACACUUUGUGGCUAAUAACAUACUUCGCCGAAAAGUUUGCUGGAAGAAACAAAACAUUUAGCUGUCCAAAAGAUGAAGAAUAUUUCAGGGCUGGCGGUUCAGUUACUGUUAAUUCUUGCAGCCUUCUUUUCCAGUGUAGCUGCCAAAACCGAAGCAGAAGAAGACAGAGAUGUGAUUAUCAUCUUAGCCGCUGUAGCGCUUGGUGUCCUCGUCAUUGCGUUGUUCCUGCUCCUCAUCAGUUGUUGCUUCUUUUGGAAAAUGUUGAGAAGGGCAGAGAAUCGGAACUAUUAACAGCAAAAUAACUAUCAGCUCAAUUGAACUUUUCUGUUUUUAUAUUUCGCUGCGACAAAGCUAAGCUUGUCGUUAUUCCAAUAUCAGCUCCCUAGUAUUCUGCGGUGCUUUGGUAGAAUAUAAACGAACGAUUGCUUGUUUAGUGGAAGCAGUGUUAGCUACAUACUAAGACGAGACGAUUCAAUGGAAGAAAAAGAAGAGAAACAAUAUAUAUAUAUCCUCAAUCAGCUAUUGAGUGCUCGCCUCAUCGAGCUCCUAUUAAUGUCCUGUAUGUUUCGAAAUGAAAAUUAAAAGAAUGGUAUUUUGUUA
Orbicella faveolata is the source of this 610-nucleotide long non-coding RNA. RefSeq lists it as uncharacterized. The record is from RefSeq and is a predicted model, not a curated record. NCBI's taxonomy places the organism in Eukaryota, Metazoa, Cnidaria, Anthozoa, Scleractinia, Merulinidae.